RNAcentral lists this ribosomal RNA (769 nucleotides) under uncultured Sphaerobacter sp. RNAcentral describes it as "bacterial SSU rRNA". It matches the Rfam family "Bacterial small subunit ribosomal RNA", at positions 8 to 796 of the family's 1533-position model. Lineage: Bacteria; Pseudomonadati; Thermomicrobiota; Thermomicrobia; Sphaerobacterales; Sphaerobacteraceae. The record is from RNAcentral.
AGAGUUUGAUCAUGGCUCAGGAACAACGCUGGCGGCGUGCCUAAUGCAUGCAAGUCGGACGGGAACCCCUUUUGGGGUCGACCGUGGCGGACGGGUGAGGAGCACGUGGGAAACCUGCCCCUGCGCGGGGGAUAACCGCGGGAAACCGCGGGUAAGACCCCAUGGGCUUGGUCGUCGAGGGGAUGAUCAAGCAAAAGCGCAAGCUGUGCGGGGAGGGUCCUGCGACCUAUCAGCUAGACGGUGGGGUAGUGGCCUACCGUGGCGAUGACGGGUAGCUGGUCUGAGAGGACGAUCAGCCACACGGGGACUGAGACACGGCCCCGACUCCUACGGGAGGCAGCAGCAAGGAAUUUUCCGCAAUGGGCGCAAGCCUGACGGAGCGACGCCGCGUGGAGGAUGACCCCCUUCGGGGCGUAAACUCCUUUUCUGGGGGACGAAGAACUGACGGUACCCCAGGAAGAAGCACCGGCUAACUACGUGCCAGCAGCCGCGGUAAGACGUAGGGUGCGAGCGUUGUCCGGAGUUACUGGGCGUAAAGGGCGCGUAGGCGGGUGCCCGCGUCGCACGUGAAAGCCCCCGGCUCAACCGGGGAGGGUCGUGCGAAACGGGGUGCCUGGAGGCAGUGAGAGGCUGGUGGAAUUCCCGGAGUAGUGGUGAAAUGCGUAGAGAUCGGGAGGAACACCGGUGGCGAAGGCGGCCAGCUGGCACUGACCUGACGCUGAGGCGCGAAGGCUUGGGGAGCGAACGGGAUUAGAUACCCCCGUAGUCC